Molecule: ribosomal RNA, 253 nt
Filed under: uncultured bacterium
Lineage: Bacteria
Description: partial 16S ribosomal RNA
Rfam family: Bacterial small subunit ribosomal RNA
Source: RNAcentral
UACGGGGGGAGCAAGCGUUGUUCGGAUUUACUGGGCGUAAAGGGCGCGUAGGCGGCACCGCAAGUCGACUGUGAAAUCUCCGGGCUUAACCCGGAAAGGUCAGCCGAUACUGCGGGGCUAGAGUGCAGAAGGGGCAACUGGAAUUCUCGGUGUAGCGGUGAAAUGCGUAGAUAUCGAGAGGAACACCUGAGGCGAAGGCGGGUUACUGGGCUGAUACUGACGCUGAUGCGCGAAAGCCAGGGGAGCAAACGGG